This 187-nucleotide non-coding RNA is filed under the name Ruminococcus sp. Its description in RNAcentral is "6S RNA". It matches the Rfam family "6S / SsrS RNA". From Rfam's summary of the family: E. coli 6S RNA was the first non coding RNA to be sequenced, but its function was unknown until recently. It consists of 184 nucleotides that fold into an extended hairpin structure with a large single-stranded internal bulge. The 6S RNA specifically associates with RNA polymerase holoenzyme containing the sigma70 specificity factor. Lineage: Bacteria; Bacillati; Bacillota; Clostridia; Eubacteriales; Oscillospiraceae. The record is from RNAcentral.
GGUUCUCUGCCUUGUGCGACCAAGUCCGUCAUGAUAUAAUCCAACACCUAUGAAUAGGGAAUCCCGGCUCCGCGCACGGAUUGCAGACCUCCCACUUUGUGGACGAAGGGAGCGUGAACUGCGUGGGCGGAUACCCACCUGCUUUGUGCGGGUUUUAUUCUUCGGACGACGGCAAGGCGGAGUGCUU